UUGCCUUAGUAACUGCGAGUGAAGCGGCAAAAGCUCAAAUUUGAAAUCUGGCGUUCAUACUGACGUCCGAGUUGUAAUUUGGAGGAGCGUCUUCGGGAGCCAGCGCCGUUCUAAGUUCUUUUGGAACUAGACAUCACAGAGGGUGAGAAUCCCGUGCCUGGGCGGCAGUCUGGUACCCACACGAAGCGUUUCCGACGAGUCGAGUUGUUUG
This 211-nucleotide ribosomal RNA is filed under the name uncultured fungus. Its description in RNAcentral is "partial 28S ribosomal RNA". It matches the Rfam family "Eukaryotic large subunit ribosomal RNA", at positions 75 to 276 of the family's 3401-position model. Lineage: Eukaryota; Fungi. The record is from RNAcentral.